GAUCCAUGUUACUUUAUAAAACCAGAAAAAUGAGCUUCAUAAUUACAAGCAAAACAGGAGCUUAUGACUGAGUCAUCCCAACCUCAUCCCACUUCUCCACUCCUCUGUGAACCUCAGGUAACAUACCUGUUUUGGCUCUAACAACCUGUGCUGGACCACCUUCCUACACGGAUACUCCUCUCACCCAACCUGGGCUCUGAAAUAUCCUCUUCACGCUGCCUCGACACCAACAUCUCGCACUAGGCGAUGCCUUUGCAAGAACACUCCUCUUACCCCACGUGGGCUCUGAAACCUCCUGCCAGGCUGCCCCUCCGACCCUCAAUCCUCAGCCCACCUGGGCCACCCUGCACUGAGCCAUCCUCUCAGCCUGCUUUGGCUCUGACACUGAGCUAAGCCGACCCUCUGCAGGGGUGGCUCUCUUGAGCCGCUUGGGCCCAACACUGGCACCAGGUGUCCCACUCGUGGGAUGCCCUCCUCACCCCACUUUUGCGGUGUUCUAAUUCAUUAAAGAUUUCUAUUAUCUA
This is a long non-coding RNA of Balaenoptera ricei (Rice's whale), 524 nucleotides long. RefSeq lists it as uncharacterized. NCBI's taxonomy places the organism in Eukaryota, Metazoa, Chordata, Mammalia, Artiodactyla, Balaenopteridae. The transcript is spliced from 2 exons. The record is from RefSeq and is a predicted model, not a curated record.